CAGGGGCUGAGAGAGAGAGAGAGAGAGAGAGAGACCAGAGGACAGCCAUGUGAAAGAGAGCCGGGCGUCCACAGAGACACAGCGGGACGUGACGAAGACUGAAUGCCGGGAUGAGAUGUAAUUUAUGGCGAGUGCCGUUUGAUUAUAGGGACAGUGACGGUGAUACCACUGCUUAGUGGGAGUGUUGGGAUCACUUAGCAUGACAGCGACAAUAUACUUAAUCACACGUGUGGUAAAUGUGACAUUAAAGGUAUGUAGCCUAAAAUAAAAAGGCACUGUCAGGAUGGAUUUUAAGAGGCUGCCCUCUGUGAAUUUCAUUGCUCAGAUCAGAUUUAGUUUUUUCAUUAAGUAUAUCACACGUUGUUUAUUGAGUAACACUGUAAAUUCAACCAGUGUCCCGACUUAGAUUUAAUAGUGCAUUUAACAAAAUUUCGACUCAUCUUUUAAAUUGACUUGCUUACACUGAGUUUUCUGUGCUUUUUGUUCUCAUAAUUGUUUCAUUUAUAAACAUGAUCUUGAUUUUUCAGAGUUUCCCAGAAUGCUCGGAGGUGUGCAGAAGUUCAAGUUGUGUUCUAAAUCAUCACAGCUGUUAUAUUGGUACAUUAGUGUUACUCCUCUUCACAUUGUUUCUAUCGUAACACAAGUGAAGUUAUGUGUAUGGUUUGUACGAUCCCUCCACUGUGUGUGUGUGUGUGUGUGUGUGUGUGUGUGGGUGGACAUUGUUUAUGCUUGGACUCAUAAUUUCAAUCAUAUAGUCAUUUAUAGAGAAGACAAAGUUCUCACCUUGAUAAAUCCCCAGAUUGCUGAAGUAUGAUAGAUGCAUUGUAAAACCAGUCAACCCAUUCUGUGGCAAAAUAUAUUAAGUUAAUGCAACGUGUCCGUAUUUAAUUUCUGUCAACUUUAUUAAAAUGGACCAUGCUAACAUAAACUAAAAUCUCACAUGGUUAACGAGUUAUAUUAAGUAUAGCACAAUCGUAAUAAACAAGCAACCUCAGCUCACCAUUUUAAAUUGACUUCAUUUUUAUGAGGUAAUGAGUUUCCAUUCUGAACUUAUAGUCCAAACUUUUUUUUAACGCAAAAAUAAAUCCAAGCAUCCUGGAACUCAAAUUAUAUAUAUAUUUUUUUCUUUUUUGGGAAACUGGCAGCGUAUCCUUUCAUAGCUAGAGGUCAACAUAACACUCAGCGCUAAUAAAACAAAUAUGACUGGGAUGGAUAUUCAUGAUGAUAUAUACAGAUGUACUGCGCAUGAGCUCGAAUCAUGUGUGAGAGAGUGUUGGAGGAGAGCAGAGAGGGAGACGCUCACAGACACUCACACAUCUGUCUGUUUACUCGUCUCUGUGUGUGUGUGUGUGUGUGUGUGUGUGUGUGUGUGUGUGUGCGUCAGUUUCCCUCAGAUGUUCCUUUUGACCUUUGACCCAGGAGUUGGGGUCAAGCCCUGACAAAUGAGAUGGUCGAGUUCUGGCCAGAACUGCAAACAUUCCACAACAAUCUCCUGUCCUCCUCCCCUCUCCUCAUAUCCGUCAUCCACCCCCCCAGCUUCUCUCACAACACGUCUCUUCCACGACCUAAAGAGAGAGCCGGGGAAAGUUUUCGUGUUUUAUUGCGUUUGCCGCGAGAAUCUCCGAUCACACAAACCUUUGAAAUGGCGAGUCCCAGUUACUGGUUAAACAUAAUACCCGUGACAUCUGCCCUGUUUACGGGAGGAGAGAAAACAACAGAGUGGAUCUUAGUGGAGAGUGUGUGUUCGAGAGGCUUGUCGGGGAUGUCAAGGAUGAGAAAUGUUGCUGUGUGGUUUUUUUUUUUACACAUGCUGCUGGCUCUAGCAUUUCCGGCAACAUUUCUCACUCUGCCUCCCUCACACCAUCCGCUCUGCUGCAAUAUCCCCCCAGUUUUCCAUCCUUUCACUCCUUCCCCCUGCCCUCCCUCCCUGAGCACUCUCGCUCCCUCUACCCUUCCCCUCCGCUGGCCCACCCUGCCCAUCUCGACCUCUCCCUCCCUCUCUCUCGUUCGUCCAGCACAGCCCCGCCUCCUUUCUCCCCUCCGCCAACUAUUUUCUCUGAUUUUCUAACAUGCCAUUCCACAGAAUGCUACCACCUGUGUCUCCCGGGGGGGGGGGGGGCUAUUGGUAUACCUCUUGAAGAAACUGGUUAAGGUAAGUGGCACCACCUAUUACAACGACAUAGCAAAUAAUGGGUUCGGCUGUUGGCUUUUUUUUUUCUCUCCAUGCACUGACCCCGGCUUCCUAAGCGUCACCACUCUCCAUCGGAGCCGUAUGGCUACAAGUCACUGCUGUAAAAACACACCCAGUCACUAUCAGUGAAUGUCAGCACCGCAGCCAGAGUGCCACAGAGGAGCCUGGAGACCAACAAAGACCGACUGAUACAGUCACACUGAACGAAUCGUGCUCUUGAACUUGCUUUCAUAAUGAUGUAAUAUCACUAAAAGCCAAUGCAACGCAGCAGAGAUCCUAAUAAAAACACAUCAAUCUCGA
Molecule: long non-coding RNA, 2491 nt
Organism: Platichthys flesus (European flounder)
Lineage: Eukaryota; Metazoa; Chordata; Actinopteri; Pleuronectiformes; Pleuronectidae
Exons: 2
Source: RefSeq, a predicted model, not a curated record